UCCCUGGAAGAGAGAGGAGCCAUUUCUUA
Molecule: non-coding RNA, 29 nt
Filed under: Homo sapiens (human)
Lineage: Eukaryota; Metazoa; Chordata; Mammalia; Primates; Hominidae
Source: RNAcentral